GGCGUCCUAGUGAAAUGGUUAUCACGUCAGUUUCCGGUUUUGGUACAUUAUCGGACACCUAGCUGAAGGUUGGGGGUUCGAGUCCCCCGGAUGUCG
Molecule: non-coding RNA, 96 nt
Organism: Cantharellus anzutake
Lineage: Eukaryota; Fungi; Basidiomycota; Agaricomycetes; Cantharellales; Hydnaceae
Source: the annotation of a RefSeq genome assembly